This 587-nucleotide ribosomal RNA is filed under the name uncultured bacterium. RNAcentral describes it as "bacterial SSU rRNA". It matches the Rfam family "Bacterial small subunit ribosomal RNA", at positions 102 to 676 of the family's 1533-position model. The record is from RNAcentral.
ACGGGUGAGUAACACGUAGGUAACCUGCCUGUAAGAUCGGGAUAACUAUCGGAAACGAUAGCUAAGACCGGAUAGCUGGUAUCUCCGCAUGGAGGAAUCAUGAAACACGGAGCAAUCUGUGGCUUACAGAUGGGCCUGCGGCGCAUUAGCUAGUUGGUAGGGUAACGGCCUACCAAGGCGACGAUGCGUAGCCGACCUGAGAGGGUGAACGGCCACACUGGGACUGAGACACGGCCCAGACUCCUACGGGAGGCAGCAGUAGGGAAUCUUCCGCAAUGGACGCAAGUCUGACGGAGCAACGCCGCGUGAGUGAUGAAGGUUUUCGGAUCGUAAAGCUCUGUUGCCCUAGACGAACAGCAUGAGGAGUAACUGCCUUGUGUGUGACGGUAUAGGAGAAGAAAGCCCCGGCUAACUACGUGCCAGCAGCCGCGGUAAUACGUAGGGGGCAAGCGUUGUCCGGAAUUAUUGGGCGUAAAGCGCGCGCAGGCGGUUCAUUAAGUUGGGUGUUUAAGCCCGGGGCUCAACUCCGGUUCGCAUCCGAAACUGGUGAACUUGAGUGUAGGAGAGGAAAGUGGAAUUCCACGUGU